AGAGAGCUUGCUUUCUAGAGACCGGCGGAUGGGUGAGUAACGCGUAUGCAACCUACCUUUUACAGGGGAAUAGCCCGGAGAAAUUCGGAUUAAUGCUCCAUGGUUUAUAGAUGUGGCAUCACAUUUAUAAUAAAGAUUUAUCGGUAAAAGAUGGGCAUGCGUAUCAUUAGCUAGUUGGUGUGGUAACGGCAUACCAAGGCUACGAUGAUUAGGGGUCCUGAGAGGGAGAUCCCCCACACUGGUACUGAGACACGGACCAGACUCCUACGGGAGGCAGCAGUGAGGAAUAUUGGUCAAUGGAGGCAACUCUGAACCAGCCAUGCCGCGUGCAGGAUGACGGUCCUAUGGAUUGUAAACUGCUUUUGUACGGGAAGAAAUGUAGUUAUGUGUAACUAUUUGACGGUACCGUAAGAAUAAGGAUCGGCUAACUCCGUGCCAGCAGCCGCGGUAAUACGGAGGAUCCGAGCGUUAUCCGGAAUUAUUGGGUUUAAAGGGUUCGUAGGCGGUUUAGUAAGUCAGUGGUGAAAUCUUGCAGCUUAACUGUAAAAUUGCCGUUGAUACUGCUAAACUUGAAUAGUAUGGAAGUAAUUAGAAUAUGUAGUGUAGCGGUGAAAUGCUUAGAUAUUACAUGGAAUACCAAUUGCGAAGGCAGAUUACUACGUACUUAUUGACGCUGAUGAACGAAAGCGUGGGUAGCGAACAGGAUUAGAUACCCUGGUAGUCCACGCCGUAAACGAUGGAUACUAGCUUGUUCGGUUUUCGGACUGAGUGGCUAAGCGAAAGUGAUAAGUAUCCCACCUGGGGAGUACGUUCGCAAGAAUGAAACUCAAAGGAAUUGACGGGGGCCCGCACAAGCGGUGGAGCAUGGGGUUUAAUUCGAUGAUACGCGAGGAACCUUACC
This 901-nucleotide ribosomal RNA is filed under the name Flavobacterium sp. KPS-4. RNAcentral's name for it is "bacterial SSU rRNA". It matches the Rfam family "Bacterial small subunit ribosomal RNA", at positions 73 to 975 of the family's 1533-position model. The record is from RNAcentral. Lineage: Bacteria; Pseudomonadati; Bacteroidota; Flavobacteriia; Flavobacteriales; Flavobacteriaceae.